AUCUAUAUAGAGAAAAUCGUUUCUUAUUUUAGAUACUUCGUUCCGUACGUUCAUAUAGGAAAGUUUGUGGCUAUGACGUUCAAAGAUGCCGACAGCAAACUACCAGUUAUGUGUAUUGGUAUUACUUCCGGUAUUGGCCGUUUAAUUUUUGGCUACAUCGCUGAUUUGCCGAAAGUGAAUCGCAUAUUCUUGCAGCAGUUAAAUAUGUCUACCCGACGGCCAACUUAACAAGAGUUGGAUAAUACCAACAAGUACUAGAUGUAUUUCGGACAAAUUUUUGAUAAAAUAGACAUAACUAGAUAGAUUUUGUACAUCUAAACAUUCACACAAGAUAUAGUUCGGAAUUAGUAUAAAAUGUCUAGUACGCCGUCUAAAUUUUGUCAGAAGUUAUCGCAAAAAUACUGCGUCGAGAUUGUCAAGACUAGUAUAGAUUAUUCAAUAUAUUUGGAUAAACAACAAUAGUUAAGGUCAACUUAUAGUAGCUAACAAUAAUGAACGAGAAAUAAAUGCUAAUUAGUUGACAUUCCGUUUAUUAGACAAAUGACGUUUCGACCCUUGAUUUAGGCAUAUCGAACUACAUAACAGAUUAAUAAGUUCGGACUAACAAAAUAUGAAGUACAUUAUGUCAAAAGUUAAUGAAUAAAUUAUAAAUUAAAAGAUGGUCAAGUAAUACAAUAUGUCAAAAAACAUGAUUAAAAUCAUGUCAGGCAUGCACGAAGGUAAGAAAUGGACUCAAAUUUGUCCAUUUCGUUGGUCCGAGCUUAUUAAGCUGUUAUGUUGUUGUGCAUAAUUUGUAAUGAAAACCUGAAGAGGAUCUAAAUCAAGGCUCCAAAUUUUGUUUGUCUAAUAAACGGAAUGUGCCAAAAUGUCGACUAAUUAGUAUUCAUUUCUCGUUAUUUGGAUAAAAUCCAUCUAGAUUUAGUCCAAGAGUUAUCUAGAAAAAUAUAAUUGUUUCUCCUUUGACUGCAA
Molecule: RNA transcript, 969 nt
Organism: Monomorium pharaonis (pharaoh ant)
Lineage: Eukaryota; Metazoa; Arthropoda; Insecta; Hymenoptera; Formicidae
Gene name: monocarboxylate transporter 10-like
Exons: 2
Source: RefSeq, a predicted model, not a curated record